UGUUGUCAAGGGUAAGGUGAUUGAUGCAAACAAAGGUGGAGUUGUGGCAGUUGUGGAAGGCCUAAGAGGGUUUGUCCCUUUCUCACAGAUAUCAACGAAAUCAGCGGCUGAAGAGCUUCUCAACAAGGAGCUUCCUCUAAAGUUUGUGGAGGUUGAUGAAGAACAAUCAAGACUUGUCCUCAGUAACCGUAAGGCCAUGGCUGACAGCCAGGCCCAACUUGGAA
This 224-nucleotide unclassified non-coding RNA is filed under the name Hevea brasiliensis (rubber tree). The record is from RNAcentral. Lineage: Eukaryota; Viridiplantae; Streptophyta; Magnoliopsida; Malpighiales; Euphorbiaceae.